Molecule: long non-coding RNA, 2049 nt
Filed under: Lynx pardinus (Iberian lynx)
Lineage: Eukaryota; Metazoa; Chordata; Mammalia; Carnivora; Felidae
Source: RNAcentral
CCAGGGCUCAGUGUCAGUCACCUAUCCUGUGGCCUCGCACCUGGAUCCCAGACCCUUCGUGGGACCUGCAGGGUGGGGUCCUGACAGGCUUAUGGGGUUGCAGGGUCACAUGGUCAUGCAGCUAUAGAGCUGGCAAUGGCCAACACCUCUCCCCAGUCUGUCUAGUUUGGAGCCCCUCCCUGCCCUCUGCCUAGCUGUGCCUCCACUGGGACAGACAUCCCCCCUAUCUUGCCCCACUGGGUGUGCCUUCUGGGGACCCCACCUGUGUGGGUGGCUGGGUGAACCAGGAAUGGACUUGAGGCCUCAAAGGUCAGUUGCUGCUGCCAGGGCUACCUUUGAGCCUUUGAAAGUGCGCCCUGGACAUGCUCUGUGCCUCCCUCCCCACAUCCUCACUCAUUUCCUCCCAUAUUGGUGAGUCACCCUCCUUUCCCACCCCAUUUCUGCCUUGCCCUACAGCAUAGGGAGCACCAUGGUCUGUGCGAGGGGCCAAAGGCUGCUGAAUCCAUUGUGAUAAAUCCCCAAAGCCAACCCAGCAUGGGUCUGAGGGUGCUCCCACCCUCAGGUGGUGCUUCCUUCAAAGCCCUGGCACUUACGGGAUGACCUUGAUGUCUUCCUUGCCAUGGAGGAUAUAGUCGAUGACUUUGUAGAAGACGAUUUCCUGUGAAAUGGACCACAGCAGUCGUGAGGUGCUCCCCGGGCCAGCUUCCCAGCGGGAGCCUCCCUGAGGGGUGAGAGGAGCCACCCAGGUGCCCCACCCAGACACACACAUGCAUGUGCAUACACAGCACGUUCCACACCCAGAGUUAUACACAACCCUCACGUGCACACACACGUGCAGACCAUCAAUGACACUUGUGCAACACACAUUACACACUUACCUUCAUUCUGUCUGUGUCCUACUCAAGCCCACACACAAACUGGGUCCCAUACCCUUUCAUACAUGUGCAUACAGCCACCCAGGCCUGCAUGCGUGCGCACACACACACACACACACACACACAAACUGUGGCAGGUCAUGGUCACAGCCCAGCCUUGUGCAGGAACUCGUCUAUACACUUGACACACAACCCUGUGAGGAGGGCACAGUUAGCAGGUGGGGAGACUGAAGCAUGGCCAGGCUGGGUGGUGUGUACCAGGUUGGAUGCACACACGAUAAGGGGCACAGGUAUCUGCCCAUGUUCCCAUGCACUUUUCAUAUUGCCUCUGUCAUGCACAUGCACACGCGUGUGUACACACAUACACAUGGCCCCAUUAGGGAGAAGCUACAGUGGUUUCAAGGGGCAGCGGAAGGACCACCCAAUCAGGACGGAUGCUGGUUAUUCAAACCAGGCUGAUGACACUUAUUGGGAGACCAGCACCUGCCCCACCUGGCCCAAGAGCAUGGGGUGGAGUCAGGCGGGACAGCAGACAAGCACUCAGAGCAGUCAGGCAGCCAGCCGGCCCCAGUGGUCUGUUCCCACCUCCCCACACCCUUCCUAAAACCCUCCCUCUCCCACCCUGGGUCAAGCUGGGACAGACCCCUUCCUGCCCUGGAACUUGAGUUGGAGUCAGGGAAACCACAGUGUGCCAAGUGGACCUGUCCCCCCUCCACCAUGACUCACGCGGCCAUCGGGCGUGCGUGGGCCUGAGUACGGCUGAGCUUCUCCCAUCAGCACAGGCCACACAUCAAAGAAUUCCUGAGCCAGGAAGAGAGGGGAGAGAGUUAGUGAGUCAGUCUGGAGCAGGUCAAGCCUGGCCAGGAGGCUGGUGGGACAGCGGGGCCUCACCUUCUCCUUGGUCAUGUCCAGGAGGCCCACUGAGUACCGGUCACAGUUUAGAUAGGCCCGCACAGUGUAGAAGGCCUUGUGGAACUGCCUCUCGAUGUCUGUCAGCUCCUCAAACACCUUGUUAGCUGACCACAGCAGCACCUGGUGGGGGGGCACACUGGUGAGCCUGUGGUGCCAUGCGCGCACACACACACACACACACACACACACUUGUGUGACCACAGCAGCACCUGGGUGUGAACUGUCACACCAAACAUACACAGGCACACAUGCAGCUGACCAC